Molecule: RNA transcript, 776 nt
Organism: Prunus persica (peach)
Lineage: Eukaryota; Viridiplantae; Streptophyta; Magnoliopsida; Rosales; Rosaceae
Exons: 4
Source: RefSeq, a predicted model, not a curated record
ACUGCAACCCAAAACGCCAGGCCCAUCUCGAAGUUCCUGAGUCCAAAUCCAAACUCCAAAACGCAAAACUCUCUCGCAGGUAGAGAGACAGAGUCUUCUCCACCAGAACUCCGUCUACUCUUGAGCUGUUGAAAAUGAAGUUUCUGGACUGGUAUGUAAAGAUUGCCCUCGGGUCGGCUCUGAUUGGAGCUUCCAUGGAGUUUUUCAUGAUCAAAACCGGCUUCUAUGACAAAGUAACUGUUUUGGAGUCAGAGAAACGGGCUUGGGAGAAUUCACCGGAGGCUCAGGCAAUCAGAGAUGCUCUGAAUCCUUGGAAAAAUCGUGAUGCAGAAGCGAGGAAAGAAUCCUAAGUUGGAUGGUAGCAUGUUCAUAAGGAAGAAGAUAACAUUAUUAGCAUGGGAUCAUUCUGAAAAUACUGACAAGAAAUUUCACUGUUUCUUCUGAGUAGAACAAAGUGAGAGAUGACCUUGAUCAACCUGAAACUUAUUUCAUUCCUCCGAUUUCUGUAAUUUCUAUUCUUGUUGUCCUGGUUACUUGAUCAACAAUUUUGAUUAAUAUGUUCAUGUAGCCUUUUCGAUUGGUUCUUGUAAGCAACUACAGUUCCGAAUGAUUGAAAAAAAAGUUCUGUUACUCGUAAACCUUUAGCAUGUGUGCCAUGGCUAUGAAGCUAAAACCUUUGCGCCAUGGAAGAAUAGCUUGUACUAUCUGGCCGACAUUUUUAUUGCCUCUCUAAGUAAAUUCAGGGUGUUCAAUCAACCUGACUGUUGCUUUGAUAA